GGGCUGCAGUAGGGAAUAUUGCGCAAUGGCCUAACGGCUGACGCAGCAACGCCGCGUGGAUGAUGAAGCAUUUCGGUGUGUAAAGUCCUUUCAGUAGGGAAGAACGGCUUCGGCCCUGACGGUACCUACAGAAGAAGCACCGGCUAACUCCGUGCCAGCAGCCGCGGUAAUACGGGGGGUGCAAGCGUUGUUCGGAUUUACUGGGCGUAAAGCGCACGCAGGCGGACUGUCAAGUCAGAUGUGAAAACCACGAGCUUAACUCUUGGCCUGCAUUUGAAACUGGCAGUCUUGAGUACCGGAGAGGAUGGCGGAAUUCCUGGUGUAGCGGUGAAAUGCGUAGAUAUCAGGAAGAACACCGGUGGCGAAGGCGGCCAUCUGGACGGAUACUGACGCUCAGGUGCGAAGGCUAGGGGAGCAAACAGGAUUAGAUACCCCUGUAGUC
Molecule: ribosomal RNA, 442 nt
Filed under: uncultured microorganism
Description: bacterial SSU rRNA
Rfam family: Bacterial small subunit ribosomal RNA
Source: RNAcentral